This 305-nucleotide ribosomal RNA is filed under the name uncultured bacterium. RNAcentral's name for it is "bacterial SSU rRNA". It matches the Rfam family "Bacterial small subunit ribosomal RNA", at positions 333 to 653 of the family's 1533-position model. The record is from RNAcentral.
GUGUUCCUACGGGGCGCAGCAGUGGGGAAUAUUGGGCAAUGGGCGCAAGCCUGACCCAGCAACGCCGCGUGAAGGAAGAAGGCUUUCGGGUUGUAAACUUCUUUUGACAGGGAAGAGCAAAAGACGGUACCUGUCGAAUAAGCCACGGCUAACUACGUGCCAGCAGCCGCGGUAAUACGUAGGUGGCAAGCGUUGUCCGGAUUUACUGGGUGUAAAGGGCGUGUAGCCGGGCUGACAAGUCAGAUGUGAAAUCCGGGGGCUCAACCCCCGAACUGCAUUGUAAACUGUGGGUCUUGAGUAUCGGG